CAUUUUAGCCAGUUGUGGCUAAAAAGUGCUGGACACAGCUAGGGCGGACAUCAUGGUUAAAGUGCCAAAGAUUCAUGUCAAGUAAAGGCAAUGGAGGAGGAUGAAAACAAGGCAGACUGACAGGUGGCAGAGAGGGCAGAUGGUGUUUCUGCAGACCUGUCCAUGUGAAGGAAAGCUCGCAAUGGGCCAAAAUCCAAAUGCAAAAUAUUUCCUUUGUGCAGUGGCACAAACACAUGCAGCAGUGGCCUGAUCUGUUGACCCAACGCUCUUGGCAGUUCGAAAUAAGCCAGCGCUGACCUACUUUUCAACUGACCUGUUUAUGCAAGCCUCUAUGCGCUCCAGUCACAAAAAUGGGGACAAAGGGGAAGCUGAAUCCAUAGGACUGUGCCACUGCUGUUGUUUGGGGAUCAUUAGCUGUACCGCUGCCCCACCUCUCCACCAGCACUGCGGCAGCCAUUGCAAUGGUGUUUCAAAGCUCCCACAAUGUUAUGACACUGACUUCAAAAAUAGAGGUGAUUAUUAAUAGCAUUUAUGUAGUUAUGAGAAUACUGGCAUUGGUUGCAUUGGCCUAUUUCACUCAACUCACUUUAG
Sinocyclocheilus anshuiensis is the source of this 591-nucleotide long non-coding RNA. RefSeq lists it as uncharacterized. The transcript has 4 exons. The record is from RefSeq and is a predicted model, not a curated record. NCBI's taxonomy places the organism in Eukaryota, Metazoa, Chordata, Actinopteri, Cypriniformes, Cyprinidae.